Molecule: long non-coding RNA, 143 nt
Filed under: Canis lupus familiaris (dog)
Lineage: Eukaryota; Metazoa; Chordata; Mammalia; Carnivora; Canidae
Description: lncRNA (ENSCAFG00030023987.1)
Source: RNAcentral
GAAAAUAGAACUCUUUCCAACACUGGAAGCCCCCCAAGAGUCCCUGUGUUGCGGCGGGGACACAGCUGGUCCUGAGAAGGCAUCAUACUCAGACAAGCCUGCAAGAUUGCAUUCAUUCCUGUUGGUGAGUCCUAAGCUUUAGA